RNAcentral lists this ribosomal RNA (269 nucleotides) under uncultured eukaryote. RNAcentral describes it as "partial small subunit ribosomal RNA". It matches the Rfam family "Eukaryotic small subunit ribosomal RNA", at positions 1161 to 1452 of the family's 1831-position model. The record is from RNAcentral.
AGGUCACCACCAGGCGUGGAGCCUGCGGCUUAAUUUGACUCAACACGGGGAAACUCACCAGGUCCAGAUGAAAUAAGGAUUGACAGAUUGAGAGCUCUUUCUUGAUUUUUCAGGUGGUGGUGCAUGGCCGUUCUUAGUUCGUGGGGUGACUUGUCUGCUUAAUUGCGAUAACGAGCGAGACCUUACUCUGCUAAAUAGCCAGGCUAGCUUUGGCUGGUCGCCGGCUUCUUAGAGAGACUAUCAACUCAAGUUGAUGGAAGUUUGAGGCA